RNAcentral lists this ribosomal RNA (253 nucleotides) under uncultured bacterium. RNAcentral describes it as "partial 16S ribosomal RNA". It matches the Rfam family "Bacterial small subunit ribosomal RNA", at positions 524 to 776 of the family's 1533-position model. The record is from RNAcentral.
UACAGAGGGGGCAAGCGUUAUUCGGAAUUAUUGGGCGUAAAGCGCACGUAGGCGGCUUUGUAAGUUAGGGGUGAAAGCCCGGAGCUCAACUCCGGAAUUGCCUUUAAGACUGCAUCGCUUGAAUCCGGGAGAGGUGAGUGGAAUUCCGAGUGUAGAGGUGAAAUUCGUAGAUAUUCGGAAGAACACCAGUGGCGAAGGCGGCUCACUGGACCGGUAUUGACGCUGAGGUGCGAAAGCGUGGGGAGCAAACAGG